CGGUACCUCAGAUGGAAAUGCAGAAAUCACCCGUCUUCUGCGUCGCUCACGCUGGGAGCUGUAGACGGGAGCUGUUGCUAUUCGGCCAUCUUCGAUGCCUGACAUUUUUAAGGCUAGGCUGGCAAACAAUCCAUGAAGACCGCCUCCAGAGAAGAGACUCAUAUUACACCAUACUAUCUGAAUACAGUGCAUUAAAGGAGGUGCAGAGACUGAAGAUCUGCAUUAAGCAGCAAGUACUUCAGCCCAGGUCCAUGUUCUACGCUCUAUGCAAAUUUCAAAGCUACAUUUCUGGGACCCUUGGCAGGGUGCUCAGGCCAAGCGAGGAUACUGGGUAGAGUCACAAAUUACCCAUGUACUUCCUUUACAUUUGCUUCCACCAGGACUUUAAUUCAGUUUAAAUCAGUUCAAGGUGAAUAUCAAGGGAAACACUGAAGAGUAAAAGAAGUAACAAGAGAGUGUGGUGGGAGUUGUGUACCAAAAGGUAACAAAGACUGCUCUACCCAAUUGCCUUUGUGGAGUGAUGAUGCAUCUGUUGUGUGUGUGUAUGUGGGUUGUACUUUUUUCCUAUACUAUGUGUUGAAGAGGAGGGACUGGGCUGGCCAUUGAGGGAGUGGCCCAAUUGGCAUAUGCUGUGUGCACGGCCAUUCAGCAGGAGAGGGAAUAGCCAGUGAUGGAUCACCUUGACAACAGAGCCAGAAGGCUUCCAGGGUCUUCACAGGCUGGUGGCACCAUGCUAAAUAUACUGUAAUCUAAUACCUGCAACAUCUGUGCAGCCUCAGAAAACUGAUUUUGGCUACAGCUUGAGGAGGACUACCUUCUGAGACACAUUCACAUUAAAUAAAUUCAUAAGCCUGAUGAAGAUAAUUUGAAGGCCAAUUCAUUCUCUUCAGUUCUCUUCAAAGGCUGACAAUAUUUGCUCUACUCCACAUGAUCUUUCUGAACUGACCUCCUGCUACCCACCUCAUGCACCUUGCUUGAGCUACCCUGACCCCGUGCUCUUCCUCAAACACACCAGACAUGCUCACUCUAUCCAGGGUACUUUCCCUUAUUUAUCCUUACAUCUUGCUCCCUCAGCUCCUUUUGGACUUCUCAGUGAAGCUUUAUUCACAUCCUUGUUUAAAAUGCAACAUCAGAGGAGUCACAUCAGCAAGAUGACUGAAUCUGAGGUCCCAGGCUUCACUUUCUGCCACAGAUAUUUCAGCUAGCAAUUAUCCUCAGAUGAAAAGAACUUUGUGAAAACCCAAAAACUUAGGACUAAGACUGAGUGUAAACCAUAGAACUAAAUAAAAUUAUAUCAUAAGAUAAGAGGAAUGAUUUCACUUUGACUACAUCAUCAUUUCCCUCCUUCAAGACAACACGACACAUAGCGAAGAUCCCCUGAAUCGACAGUUUCCAUAGUGAGUAAAGAGCUCUGGAGGUAGUCAUCCAGCUUCUCAGUAUUCAGAGACACUUCUCAGGGAGCUCGCCCCCAUCUCACCUCAAAGGGAACACUAGGUGUAACAAUGGGACUAGACCACCUGGGAUCAGAUAGAAACACCAAAAGGAGGCUCAAGGAUCUUGAUGAUAGCCCUGUGUUUCUGCCGUUGAUGGCAUCCCAGCCAACAGCAGAGCUCACCCACAAAGCCAAGCUGGUGGAUCCCAGAAGUAUAGCAGGACGUUCAAGCUGGCUAGAGCCCUAGGCAGCCAGCCUCCAUACCCAGCCUUGGAGCCUACACCAGAUCCCCACCCAGGCAAGGAGACACCAGCCACAACACAUUUCUGUUGAGCGUAGG
RNAcentral lists this long non-coding RNA (1772 nucleotides) under Homo sapiens (human). Its description in RNAcentral is "HSALNT0140261". Lineage: Eukaryota; Metazoa; Chordata; Mammalia; Primates; Hominidae. The record is from RNAcentral.